This 853-nucleotide ribosomal RNA is filed under the name Pristimantis muranunka. RNAcentral's name for it is "partial large subunit ribosomal RNA". It matches the Rfam family "Bacterial large subunit ribosomal RNA", at positions 1501 to 2598 of the family's 2925-position model. The record is from RNAcentral. Lineage: Eukaryota; Metazoa; Chordata; Amphibia; Anura; Strabomantidae.
GUGUAUACUAAUUCAAAAACCCACAUUAACCCCUUUAACCAUAUUGAGAACUUCUAUAACCCUAUAGAACCUUUUAUGCUAAAACUAGUAACAAGAGAAAACCCUCUCCCAAUGCAAACAUAAGCCAGCAAGAACCUAUCACUGGCAAUUAACAGCCUUAAAUAAAAGUAGCAACUUCACUAGAAAACCCUACUCCUCCGACUGUUAACCUAACACUAGAGCAUUUCAAGAAAGAUUAAAAGAAAAAGAAGGAACUCGGCAAACUCCAGUCCCGCCUGUUUACCAAAAACAUCGCCUCUUGCUUCCCAUAAGAGGUCUAACCUGCCCAGUGACCCUGUUCAACGGCCGCGGUAUCCUAACCGUGCGAAGGUAGCGUAAUCACUUGUUUUCCAAAUAAAGACCUGUAUGAAAGGUAUAACGAGGACUAAGCUGUCUCCUUUUUUUAAUCAGUGAACCUAAUCUCCCCGUGAAGAAGCGGGGAUCUUAAUAUAAGACGAGAAGACCCUAUGGAGCUUAAAACAUCAUAACACUUGCCACCCAUGUUUAAUUAUAGAAUUUCUAAUCGGCAUCCUGAUUUUAUGUUUUUGGUUGGGGUGACCGCGGAGAAAACCUCAUCCUCCGCAAUGAAAGAGGCUUCCUCCUCUAAACAAUAAGUUACAACUUUAUGUAUCAACUAAUUGACACUCAUUGACCCAAUAAAUUGAUUAAUGAACCAAGUUACCCUAGGGAUAACAGCGCAAUCCACUUUAAGAGCUCCUAUCGACAAGUGGGCUUACGACCUCGAUGUUGGAUCGGGAUAUCCUUGUGGUGCAGCCGCUACUAAUGGUUCGUUUGUUCAACGAUUAAAAUCCUA